RNAcentral lists this transfer RNA (68 nucleotides) under Poromitra oscitans (yawning). RNAcentral's name for it is "tRNA-Tyr". It matches the Rfam family "tRNA". Rfam says of the family: Transfer RNA (tRNA) molecules are approximately 80 nucleotides in length. Their secondary structure includes four short double-helical elements and three loops (D, anti-codon, and T loops). The record is from RNAcentral. Lineage: Eukaryota; Metazoa; Chordata; Actinopteri; Beryciformes; Melamphaidae.
GGUAAGGUGGCCGAGUAAAGCGGUGGAUUGUAGCCCCAUAGACAGAGGUUUAAGCCCUCUCCUUAUCA